RNAcentral lists this ribosomal RNA (137 nucleotides) under uncultured bacterium. RNAcentral's name for it is "partial 16S ribosomal RNA". It matches the Rfam family "Bacterial small subunit ribosomal RNA", at positions 375 to 529 of the family's 1533-position model. The record is from RNAcentral.
GCGCAAGCCUGAUCUAGCGAUGCCGCGUGAGUGACGAAGGUCUUAGGAUCGUAAAGCUCUUUCGCCAGGGAUGAUAAUGACAGUACCUGGUAAAGAAACCCCGGCUAACUCCGUGCCAGCAGCCGCGGUAAUACGAC